This 468-nucleotide ribosomal RNA is filed under the name uncultured bacterium. RNAcentral's name for it is "partial 16S ribosomal RNA". It matches the Rfam family "Bacterial small subunit ribosomal RNA", at positions 28 to 507 of the family's 1533-position model. The record is from RNAcentral.
GACGAACGCUGGCGGCGUGCUUAACACAUGCCAGUCGAACGGAAAGGCCCUGCUUUUGUGGGGUGCUCGAGUGGCGAACGGGUGAGUAACACGUGAGUAACCUGCCCUUGACUUUGGGAUAACUUCAGGAAACUGGGGCUAAUACCGGAUAGGAGCUCCUGCUGCAUGGUGGGGGUUGGAAAGUUUCGGCGGUUGGGGAUGGACUCGCGGCUUAUCAGCUUGUUGGUGGGGUAGUGGCUUACCAAGGCUUUGACGGGUAGCCGGCAUGAGAGGGUGACCGGCGACCAUGGGACUGAGAGAGGGACCAGACGGCUACGGGAGACAGCAGUGGGGAGUAUUGCACAAUGGGCGGAAGCGUGAUGCAGCGGCGCCGCGUGCGGGAUGACGGCCUUCGGGUUGUAAACCGCUGUCGCCUGUGACGAAGCGUGAGUGACGGUAAUGGGUAAAGAAGCACCGGCUAACUACGUG